RNAcentral lists this ribosomal RNA (439 nucleotides) under uncultured bacterium. Its description in RNAcentral is "partial 16S ribosomal RNA". It matches the Rfam family "Bacterial small subunit ribosomal RNA", at positions 338 to 795 of the family's 1533-position model. The record is from RNAcentral.
CCUACGGGUGGCAGCAGUGGGGGAUAUUGCACAAUGGGGGGAACCCUGAUGCAGCGACGCCGCGUGGGUGAAGAAGCGCCUCGGCGCGUAAAGCCCUGUCAGCAGGGAAGAAACUGACGGUACCUGAAGAAGAAGCCCCGGCUAACUACGUGCCAGCAGCCGCGGUAAUACGUAGGGGGCAAGCGUUAUCCGGAUUUACUGGGUGUAAAGGGAGCGUAGGCGGGGAGGCAAGUUGGGUAUAAAAACUACCGGCUCAACUGGUAGUCGCACGCAAAACUGCAGCUCUUGAGUGAAGUAGAGGCAGGCGGAAUUGCUAGUGUAGCGGUGAAAUGCGUAGAUAUUAGGAGGAACACCAGUGGCGAAGGCGGCCUGCUGGGCUUUUACUGACGCUGAGGCUCGAAAGUGUGGGGAGCAAACAGGAUUAGAUACCCGAGUAGUC